CCUACGGGAGGCAGCAGUGAGGAAUCUUGGUCAAUGGACGAGAGUCUGAACCAGCCAAGUAGCGUGAAUGAUGACUGCCCUAUGGGUUGUAAACUUCUUUUAUAUGGGAAUAAAACGUUCCGAGUGUGGGUUUUUGUAUGUACGAUAUGAAUAAGGAACGGCUAACUACGUGACAGCAGCCGCGGUAAUACGGAGGAUCCGAGCGUUAUCCGGAUUUAUUGGGUUUAAAGGGAGCGUAGGUGGAUUGUUAAGUCAGUUGUGAAAGUUUGCGGCUCAACCGUAAAAGUGCAGUUGAAACUGACAGUCUUGAGUACAGUAGAGGAGAGCGGAAUUCGAGGUGUAGCGGUGAAAUGCUUAGAUAUCACGAAGAACUCCGAUUGCGAAGGCAGCUCACUGGACUGCAACUGACACUGAGGCUCGAAAGUGUGGGUAUCAAACAGGAUUAGAUACCCUUGUAGUC
RNAcentral lists this ribosomal RNA (460 nucleotides) under uncultured bacterium. Its description in RNAcentral is "partial 16S ribosomal RNA". It matches the Rfam family "Bacterial small subunit ribosomal RNA", at positions 338 to 795 of the family's 1533-position model. The record is from RNAcentral.